Long non-coding RNA from Fundulus heteroclitus (mummichog), 431 nucleotides. RefSeq lists it as uncharacterized. The record is from RefSeq and is a predicted model, not a curated record. NCBI's taxonomy places the organism in Eukaryota, Metazoa, Chordata, Actinopteri, Cyprinodontiformes, Fundulidae. The transcript is spliced from 4 exons.
GCGGCUGCGCGCUCCCGCGGGAUCCGCUCCGUUCACUCCGAUGGCGGUGCGCGUUGGCGAGCAGCGACCGCAGCUAUACGGCUGGCAGGUAGGGAUGAGCAGGAGACCAGAGGAUGCAGGUAGAUAACGACCAGAGCAGGCGAUGUGGAAGGAGGAACCACCAGAAUGGGCAGAGCAAACGGUUGGAACUCAUGGGGAAACAGGCAGAACCGCAGCACGCAGACACAGGCAACUAACAGAAGAGUCCAGCUGGCUGAGCACACAGGAUCUGGUCCUCUUGAUUGGGGUUGAUGAGCUCCAGCAGUGAGGACACACCUGCCGGUCGCACCCCGCGAGCAGAGGAGAUCCCCAGAAGGUUUUUUGAGUACGGACAUCCAGUGCAUCUCGAUCAGAUUUUGGUUCAGAUCUUGACCAGACCAGUUCAGGACCUU